ACUCCUACGGGAGGCAGCAGUAGGGAAUUUUGGUCAAUGGACGGAAGUCUGAACCAGCCAUUCCGCGUGCAGGAAGAAGGUCCUAUGGACUGUAAACUGCUUUUAGCAGAGAAGAAACGCCUUCAUUUAUGAGGGUCUGACGGUAUCUGCGGAAUAAGCACCGGCUAACUCCGUGCCAGCAGCCGCGGUAAUACGGGGGGUGCAAGCGUUAUCCGGAAUCACUGGGUUUAAAGGGUGCGUAGGCGGGACAUUAAGUCAGUGGUGAAAGUCUGUUGCUUAACGAUAGAAUUGCCGUUGAUACUGAUGUUCUUGAAUUGGGUUGAGGUUAGCGGAAUGUGACAUGUAGCGGUGAAAUGCAUAGAUAUGUCAUGGAACACCAAUUGCGAAGGCAGCUAGCUGGGCCUUGAUUGACGCUGAGGCACGAAAGCGUGGGGAGCAAACAGGAUUAGAUACCCUGGUAGUC
This 463-nucleotide ribosomal RNA is filed under the name uncultured bacterium. RNAcentral's name for it is "bacterial SSU rRNA". It matches the Rfam family "Bacterial small subunit ribosomal RNA", at positions 335 to 795 of the family's 1533-position model. The record is from RNAcentral.